AAGCAAUGCUCAUCUGUUGUGCUCACGUUUAUAUUCUGUGAUGCCACCGCUGAUUACACUGAAGAUAUUCUGACUGCUGUCAGUGGAGUGAGAGGUGGACUGCGCCUGAAUGCUUGGAAGGACAGUUAAAUGUGAUCUCAAAUCAAAUUCUUAAGGACUUUAUGAGUUCCUUUUAUUUGGGGGCACGUAACUAAAGGAGAUGUUCAGCAUGUUCCUUGGUGGGUGCCAGAAAGCUUAUUUUCAGAAGUAUCUGAGGCUCAGGGAAAGUCAACGACGGCUAUAUUUACCCUGAAGUCUGUGCAACUGCUGCCAAAAUCGAGCCAUGUUCUUUUUGUAGGAAUAACCAUGAGAAACAACAGCAUUUGGAGGAAGGACCGGGCACCAUACAUGUGACUUAUCUGACAUAGAAUGACGUAGAUGUCUUAAAUGGGGUCCAAGAGGCCACCUGAGGUUGUGCCUUGAGUGCUGUCAUCAGAAGGGCAGAUGGGAAAGGAGACUUUAACUCUCGGUGCUAUUGGUAGGCAUUGUUUCCACAGAAGCCCCCUCCCCUGUUUGGCCCGUGGCUGUGUCCUGGUGGAGCUGGGCCAGGCGUUGUGCCACUGUCUGCUGACAGGAUCCAAUUUCUUCUUAUGUGGAAAUAUAAAUCUUGGCCCUUCGAUC
Molecule: long non-coding RNA, 660 nt
Filed under: Gallus gallus (chicken)
Lineage: Eukaryota; Metazoa; Chordata; Aves; Galliformes; Phasianidae
Description: long non-coding RNA NONGGAT004790
Source: RNAcentral